GUUUCUGUAGUGUAGUGGUUAUCACGUUUGCCUAACACGCAAAGCUCUUCGGUUCGAAACCGAGCAGAAACA
RNAcentral lists this transfer RNA (72 nucleotides) under Anguilla anguilla (European eel). It matches the Rfam family "tRNA". From Rfam's summary of the family: Transfer RNA (tRNA) molecules are approximately 80 nucleotides in length. Their secondary structure includes four short double-helical elements and three loops (D, anti-codon, and T loops). Lineage: Eukaryota; Metazoa; Chordata; Actinopteri; Anguilliformes; Anguillidae. The record is from Rfam by way of RNAcentral.